This 71-nucleotide transfer RNA is filed under the name Heliconius melpomene (postman butterfly). Its description in RNAcentral is "tRNA HMEL006104". It matches the Rfam family "tRNA". Rfam says of the family: Transfer RNA (tRNA) molecules are approximately 80 nucleotides in length. The record is from RNAcentral. Lineage: Eukaryota; Metazoa; Arthropoda; Insecta; Lepidoptera; Nymphalidae.
GCAUCGGUGGUUCAGUGGUAGAAUGCACGCCUGCCACGCGGGCGGCCCGGGUUUGAUUCUCGGCCGAUGCA